AUGAUUGUUGUAACACACCACCUUAAAAUUCACACCGUGUCUGUCUCACACAAACACUUGUUGAGAUCUCUCUCAUCACCUCUCUUGUUUCUCUUCUUCUUUUAUAUAAAGUUUUUCCUUUUCUUGUACCCAAUUGGAUUCUCAUCUGAACCCAGUAAUACGUUAUGUCAGUGUGUUGUGAGGAAGCUGUAUUUUGAAUUAUUGGUGCUGCGACAUUCGGUUGGGUUUUGGAUUGUGGAUUUGACUUUGAAUGUUUGGUGA
Non-coding RNA from Vicia faba (fava bean), 261 nucleotides. NCBI's taxonomy places the organism in Eukaryota, Viridiplantae, Streptophyta, Magnoliopsida, Fabales, Fabaceae. The record is from the annotation of a GenBank genome assembly.